GUCACAUAUGGCUUACAUCAUUUUUAGGUAAGCAUGCCGAAAAUCUCCUGUGUGUUGAACUGCAAUGCAGGUGUGGGAGAACACUGUCUCGAAUUCAUCCCAGUUUGAUUCAUCAUGUGGAAGUAUUCAAUCCAGGAACCCACUGCAGCAAUGUCGAAGUGAUAGCCACGCUGAGAAGUGGAAACAAAAUCUGCCUGAACCCAGACUCUCCAGUGAUCAGGAAAAUAAUCUUUGAAAUGGUGGACAGUGAAGAAUAUGAUGAGUAAUCUGUUCAAUCUCUGCCAAACCUUUUUACCUACCAGGAAGAGCAGGAUUUUGAAGUCUUGACUUUGUAGGGUUCUUAUUUAUCCAGGAUACCCAUUGCUACCGUGUUAAAAUUUGGAUAUGUUUUCCAUUCUGUAUCAAAAAUCACAUUUUACUCUGAGAAGGCCGGUUAAAAGAUACUAGAAAGAUGAAAUAAUCAAACCUAGUUUCAACAACGAAUAUAUGGUUUACUGCCUAAUUCUUGGAUUAACAUCGUACCCUCCUUUGCAUUUCUUUAUUUGAAAAUUCCUUUCCCAAUAUGUUUGUGGUAAUUUUUCUUGCACUUCUUUACUUUUAGACUAGACAUGCCCAGGAUAAUUA
Lemur catta (Ring-tailed lemur) is the source of this 624-nucleotide long non-coding RNA. RefSeq lists it as uncharacterized. The record is from RefSeq and is a predicted model, not a curated record. Lineage: Eukaryota; Metazoa; Chordata; Mammalia; Primates; Lemuridae. The transcript has 3 exons.